AGCGUCCCCACCCCCUCCUUCCCGAUGCCCCCACCCCUCGACGAUUACCAUCUCGCUCCGCCCCGCCGCCCUCCCCUUCCUCUCCGUCUCCUGUGCAGCCCCGACGCCCUCCCCCUCCUCUCCAUCUCCUGCGCAGCCCCGACUCCCCCCUCCCCUCACGACGGCCGCUGCCCUCCCCUCCAAUCGGCGCUGCGCGGAUAGACGGAAGCCUAGAUACGUGCGGAGCGUCGCCUGGCCCGCCUCGCGUCGGUGCCGCUCGGAUCGACGGCCGCCGCGCGCGGAUCGACACCCUGCCGCUUCGCAUUAUCCUCACCCUCGCUUGGCUCCCCGUCCAGCAUCCUUCUCCUCAUUCGCCACCGUCCUAAUGGAAGGCUCGUGGAGGUUGUAUCCAUGGAUGUGGCAGUCGGAUGCCCUGCCAUCACCGAAGCCCCAUUCCCCGCACCCAUUGUCCAGACUCUAGCCGCCGACGCCGUGGGGAGCAGGACAGAUGCACGGAGGUGCCGAUCGGAUGCGCUGCCAUCUCCAUCCACAAUCCUCUUACCCAGAUCUACCUAUUAUACAGCAUGGAGACGCUUCUAAGAACAGAGAAGAGAGAUCGAGCAGAGUCUGAGAGGAAAACAAUCUGAUUGUUUUGGCUUUUAUCGACGAGGGCAGGCUCUGAUUUGUGAAGACCACUGGGGCCUCUACGACUACAUUGCAGGUGCCUACUUUAGUUUGCGCUGACGUCGGCCAAAUUGCAUCUGCCCAGAGGAUGCUGCUCCCGUACGGCGGCAUCGCGUAAAGCUGCCGGACACAUGUAAAAUUUGUUCAAUAAACUAAUGAUCUGUUCUAUGUAAUGUUUUUUCAUACAGAGUUGAUAUUACCUUUGCCAAUCAUAAAUUUAGAAUAUGAUUCAUUCAGAAGCAACUAUCAAAUAAGUACAGGCUAGCAUGUACAUUUUUAGUGCAAUGUUGAGAGACAAUACAUGUGUUUAGGUUCAGGAUAAAAUUUUGUUGAAUCCUAGCAUACUAAACGUAACUAUAUGAAGCUUGAGAUGCACCUUAGAUCUUAGACCAUAAGUGGAUCAGGAAAGAGAUACUUCAGUUAUUAUCAUUAAAUAUGGGUGAAUGUGCAUAUGCUGUCCGCAAAAAUAUUUAGCUAGAUACACAUUUAGGACCAGACAAAUUUGUUCAUCUACCAUCUAUCAAGGAUGUCAUUGCCUACAUGAGCAUCUGCGCUCCUUUUAUUGUCAUGCUAAAUUGUGCGGUUACCAUCUGACUUGAAUCUAAUACUGUCAUUCUCUUAUUACUGGUCACUAAAAGCCACUAUACUGAACAAUGAGUUAGCUAUAGUGGCCUCAGAAAUUGUUAAUUUGGACUUGAAGUCUGAAUCGCCACACUACAAAAUAGGUGGGUGUACAUAGAUUUCACUUACAAUUAUGUGGCUUGAAGCUUUGGAGAUGCUGCUUGACAAGCUAGAACAAAACAUGUGGCUGUCUGCCCAUCUCAGGGAGCCGGCAGCAACAUGGCAGUAUCUACUGGAAGAUGGGAAGCCAGAUUUAUUAUAUCCAACCUGCAGCAAUUUUGUUUCUCUGUCCAUAUUGAUUACUUGAGUAAGAGCCGGUGCUGCAUUCUCAUCUCUCUUUGUUCCUGAAUUGGUCAUUACUGUCAAUUUCCCCGAUCUUUGUUUGAUUAUGAUUGUACUAACAAGAUAUGCAUGGGCUCUAUGAUUUCUCUACAUUCCCUUCAUCCAGAUGGUCAAACUGCAUUUCACUCUAUUAAAAGGCCCUGAGAAAGAGGGUACUUUCUGUUUACCGAUGAAUCUCAAGGGAUAGUAAUAAUGUUUGCCUCUUAAGAUCUGGAUAGCGUCAUGUGUAUCCCGUUUGAAUGCUAUUUGUCUUCCAUGCCACUUAUAGAGGGAGAAACCACAUGCAACGAGAGAAUAAUAGAUCCUGAUGAAAAACUAAUUAGUUGGGCAAAAAUGACAUGUACGAAAGCAAACAAUGCAUAUGUACAAAUGACAUGUCAACUGUCAUGAGAUUUCUGGUACAUAUAUCCUCCUAAACCAAUCAGGAUAUACCAUUUGUAUGAAGUCUAUGAUUUGAUAUAAAUUGCAAAAUCCUAAUGUUUUUAUUUGCUUAUUUCCUGCUCCUCUAUUCAUUAUUCAAGGCUUUAUCUUUCCUUUUUUCUGAUAAAGUAUCUCCUUUAAGGACAGUAAUCCUGCAGUAAUGUUUUCCAAUUUUUUUUCUAUGAAGCAAUUUUUGCUGUUAAUAACCUUCUCUCUGCAGGUGGUCAAAAGAAUUAUGGCUAGCUAGGUACAAACACAACAAUUAAAGUAAUGUUGUGAAGAGCUGAGUGAUAUGAGGAUUAAGCAUUGCAGCCUCAGCCACGUGACCUCUCUUUGGAACUGAACGAUUGACCAUCAAAAGCUUAUAUUGUUUAAGGUUAUUUUGAGGAAUUGAGUGAUAAUUAGAGGGAGCAAGCUAAAGAGUUGAUGGAGUACCAGGUAUUAUUUUUGUUUCCUCAUAAUUGUGAUGAUCAUUUGCCAAUACCACUCUACCAUAAUAGAUAUCGAGUUACUGAUGUUGUUUGUGUUUUGUGUCAUUAGAACGAACUGGAGGAGUUUAAAAGUUUUUAAUAUGAGAUUUAUAGGUUAUUUUUUAUGACAUGUUGCUACUUAUCAUGUGGAGAUGCGAUGGAGAAUUGGUUUUCGAAGGAAGAUAUGGGUUCAGAGUUAUGAAGGUUGUUGUCUGAAUUUGACUUACAUAAUGAAAAAUUAAAAUAUCAGUGUUAGAGAUUUUGUAUAUUUAUCUCAUCAGGAAACUUGGACUUGCCAAAUGAUCUAACAUGGAUUUCACUGAAAAAUGCAAAUCUCGUAUGACAUUGCGUGCU
This is a long non-coding RNA of Panicum hallii, 2870 nucleotides long. RefSeq lists it as uncharacterized. The transcript is spliced from 4 exons. The record is from RefSeq and is a predicted model, not a curated record. NCBI's taxonomy places the organism in Eukaryota, Viridiplantae, Streptophyta, Magnoliopsida, Poales, Poaceae.